CACUCCUACGGGAGGCAGCAGUGGGGAAUAUUGGACAAUGGGCGCAAGCCUGAUCCAGCCAUGCCGCGUGAGUGAUGAAGGCCCUAGGGUUGUAAAGCUCUUUCACCGGAGAAGAUAAUGACGGUAUCCGGAGAAGAAGCCCCGGCUAACUUCGUGCCAGCAGCCGCGGUAAUACGAAGGGGGCUAGCGUUGUUCGGAAUUACUGGGCGUAAAGCGCACGUAGGCGGAUCGAUCAGUCAGGGGUGAAAUCCCAGGGCUCAACCCUGGAACUGCCGUUGAUACUGUCGAUCUGGAGUAUGGAAGAGGUGAGUGGAAUUCCGAGUGUAGAGGUGAAAUUCGUAGAUAUUCGGAGGAACACCAGUGGCGAAGGCGUCUCACUGGUCCAUUACUGACGCUGAGGUGCGAAAGCGUGGGGAGCAAACAGGAUUAGAUACCCGGGUAGUCCC
RNAcentral lists this ribosomal RNA (446 nucleotides) under uncultured organism. Its description in RNAcentral is "partial 16S ribosomal RNA". It matches the Rfam family "Bacterial small subunit ribosomal RNA", at positions 334 to 797 of the family's 1533-position model. The record is from RNAcentral.